AUAGUUCCUUCUCAUGAAUUUGUUACAUUCUUAUAAGGGAAGUCAACAUAGAAUAUUUACAAAAUGAAUACAAAGUAAUUUCCCUGGGUUGAGAAGGGGUUGUUGUUUUUCUUCUUUGAUGGAAUAGCCUCAUUGGGAGAUGUCUUGACUUGAGUGUGAAUUGGAUUUAAGCAAGGCAGAGUUGCACAAAGCCAUAAGCCUCACUCUCUCUUCCAGAGUCCAGGAUGAUCUUGGCAUCUUCAAUGUGUCACCAAACUCUAAGCGCUUCAUAGUGCCUUCCAUCAUGGCCGCUGGAAGGAAUUGUUUAUAUCUGCUCAUUCUGCCAGGGAAGUCUUCAGAUGGUUGUGGAAGACAUACCCCUAACUCACUGAUGGUAUGAUGCCUCCAGGUUUCCCUCAACCUGGGUUAGCUUGACUGCUGAGAAAGUUAUGACAAGGUGUGGCCACUGUACAUGCUACAGCUUCUUGGAGCCACAGAUGUCAAUGAGAUCUGAAAUGGAUUAUUUCAAACCGAGGACAACCCUGAAAAUAUGAUUUGGGGAUUCUCCAAACAUAAGGUAUAAAACAUCUGUACAAGGCUGCAGUGUUGAACCCAUUAUUCAGAAUUGCUUUGGCUGUUUUCCAAGCAAGCAAUUCUCCUUUGGCAAAACUAGAAGAUUAUCUACAUAUCAAGGAAAAGAAACAAAAGGCAAAGGGAAGAUUCAAAGGUGAUGGUGGUGGUGGUGAGAUGGUGAUUUAUUUCUCCAGAAAUGAUUUAUGAUACAAAGACUGAUGGACCCUGAGACCGAAGCUCCCCUUCGAUUGCAUCUGUUGGCACUCCAGAACAAAGCAAGUAGUUCCACUUCAUAGGACACUGUUACUUCCCAUGCUGUGACUUGACAAAUCCAUGAUGGAUUGAUGUUCUGGGUUUAUACUGUCUGUACCACAGUGAAGACUAUAGAAGCCUGGGAACCAAAAGCCCUCCCCCCCAGUCAACUCCCUUAGGGCUGUCCAGUGAACUUCACGCAAGUACCCCGAUUUUGCCCAAGAGAGACAAUCCAGGUUACCUCAUCCCAGGCCACCACCCUAUAAAAAACUGCCCCCUUCUCCACCCAGGUGGAGACUAUUCCAUCUGCAGGUUUGUGGGUGCCCCCUUUCUCUCCCUUCCUCUGCCACCCCUUCCUUUCCCACAAUAAAGCUUUGCUGCAUUACUCAA
This is a non-coding RNA of Monodelphis domestica (gray short-tailed opossum), 1194 nucleotides long. The record is from RefSeq and is a predicted model, not a curated record. Lineage: Eukaryota; Metazoa; Chordata; Mammalia; Didelphimorphia; Didelphidae.